Lepus europaeus (European hare) is the source of this 746-nucleotide long non-coding RNA. RefSeq lists it as uncharacterized. The transcript has 3 exons. The record is from RefSeq and is a predicted model, not a curated record. NCBI's taxonomy places the organism in Eukaryota, Metazoa, Chordata, Mammalia, Lagomorpha, Leporidae.
UACUAUGGAAAAUUAUGCAACGGAAGGAAUGCAUUGUCAUUGGCUGUAUCCAUUAAAAUACUCAUUUUCUUUUUCAGUAUCAUCCACAAGUUCUGUAACAGUUUCUGCUGAAGUUUGACCAGUAAAUUUUCUUUUUCUCUGCUAUCAAUCAAUAAUUUUUAUAAACUAAUCUAAAAUAUUGCAUUUACCUUUUUAACAGGUUGUGGAAUGCUGUGAUUGGUGUAUCAAUGGAUAAACAGCUGGAAACUAUACUGACAAAUCAUGAUGUCUGAUCCAUUCUAGAGGCUCUCUGCUAUGGCCUGGGAUAGCAGUAAAAGAUGGCCCAAGUCCUUGGACCCCUGCACCCACGUGGGAGACCCGGAGGAAGCUCCUGGCUCCUGUCUUCGGAUCAGCCCAGCUCCGGCCAUUGCAGCCAUUUGAGGAGUGAACCAUCGAAUGGAAGACCUCUCUCUCUGCCUCUCCUCUCUCUGUGUAACUCUGACUUUCAAAUAAAUAAAUAAAUCUUAUUUGUGACUCAACGUCAUAAAUAAGAGUAUCAAUUGAUAAGUCAACAACAGGAGUCACUGUGAACUUACUUCCCAUAUAGGACCUCUGUCUCUAAUGAGUUGUGCUGCGAGAAUUAAUGGUAAAACUUGCUCUCAAACAGUAUUUUAUACUUUGUGUGCCUGUGUGGGUGCAAACUGUUGAAAUCUUAAUAUAGAGUUGGUCUUCUGUAUAUAAAGAUAAUUAAAAUGAAUAUUAAUGAA